AGUGAACGCUGGCGGUAGGCCUAACACAUGCAAGUCGAACGGCAGCACAGUAAGAGCUUGCUCUUACGGGUGGCGAGUGGCGGACGGGUGAGGAAUACAUCGGAAUCUACUUUUUCGUGGGGGAUAACGUAGGGAAACUUACGCUAAUACCGCAUACGACCUACGGGUGAAAGCAGGGGAUCUUCGGACCUUGCGCGAUUGAAUGAGCCGAUGUCGGAUUAGCUAGUUGGCGGGGUAAAGGCCCACCAAGGCGACGAUCCGUAGCUGGUCUGAGAGGAUGAUCAGCCACACUGGAACUGAGACACCGUCCAUACUCCUACGGGAGGCAGCAGUGUGGAAUAUUGGACAAUGGGCGCAAGCCUGAUCCAGCCAUACCGCGUCGGUGAAGAAGGCCUUCGGGUUGUAAAGCCCUUUUGUUGGGAAAGAAAAGCAGCAGGUUAAUACCCCGCUGUUCUGACGGUACCCAAAGAAUAAGCACCGGCUAACUUCGUG
Molecule: ribosomal RNA, 492 nt
Filed under: uncultured bacterium
Lineage: Bacteria
Description: partial 16S ribosomal RNA
Rfam family: Bacterial small subunit ribosomal RNA
Source: RNAcentral